Molecule: ribosomal RNA, 1470 nt
Filed under: uncultured Bordetella sp.
Lineage: Bacteria; Pseudomonadati; Pseudomonadota; Betaproteobacteria; Burkholderiales; Alcaligenaceae
Description: partial 16S-23S ribosomal RNA intergenic spacer
Rfam family: Bacterial small subunit ribosomal RNA
Source: RNAcentral
AGUUCGAUUAUGGCUCAGAUUGAACGCUGGCGGGAUGCUUUACACAUGCAAGUCGAACGGCAGCACGGACUUCGGUCUGGUGGCGAGUGCGAACGGUGAGUAAUGUAUCGGAACGUGCCUAGUAGCGGGGGAUAACUACGCGAAAGCGUAGCCAAUACCGUACGCCUUCGGGGAAAGGACCUUCGGGCCUCGCACUAUUAGAGCGGCCGAUAUCGGGAUUAAUAGUUGGUGGGGUAACGGCUCACCAAGGCGACGAUCCGUAGCUGGUUUGAGGGACGAGACCAGCCACACUGGGACCGAGACACGGCCCAGACUCCUACGGGAGGCAGCAGUGGGGAAUUUUGGACAAUGGGGAAACCCUGAUCCAGCCAUCCCGCGCAGGUGAUGAAGGCCUUUCGGGUUGUAAAGCACUUUUGGCAGGAAAGAAAACGGCACGGGAUAAUACCCCGCACUGACGGUACCUGCAGAAUAAGCACCGCCAACCAUGCGCCGUGCAGCUGCGGUAAUACGUAGGGUGCAAGCGUUAAUCGGAAUUACUGGGCGAAGCGUGCGCAGGCGGUUCGGAAAGAAAGAUGUGAAAUCCCAGAGCUUAACUUUGGAACUACAUUUUUAACUACCGAGCUAGAGUGUGUCAGAGGGAGGUGGAAUUCGGCGUAGCAGUGAAAUGCGUAGAUAUGCGGAGGAACACCGAUGGCGAAGGCAGCCUCCUGAUAACACUGACGCUCAUGCACGAAAGCGUGGGGAGCAAACAGGAUUAGGAUACCCUGGUAGUCCACGCCCUAAACGAUGUCAACUAGCUGUUGGGGCCUUCGGGCCCGGUAGCGCAGCUAACGCGUGAAGUUGACCGCCUGGGGAGUAAUGGUUUGCAAGAUUAAACCUAAAGGAAUUGACGGGGACCGCACAAGCGGUGGAUGAUGUGGAUUAAUUCGAUGCAACGCGAAAACCUUACCUACCCUUGACAUGUCUGGAACUCGAAGAGAUUUGGGAGUGCUUCCGCAAGAGAACCGAACACAGGUGCUGCAUGGUUGUCGUCAGUUCGUGUCGUGAGAUGUUGGGUUAAGUCCCGCAACGAGCGCAACCUUUUUGUCAUUAGUUGCUACGAAAGGGCACUCUAAUGGGAGACUGCCGGUGACAAACCGGAGGAAGGUGGGGAUGACGUCAAGUCCUCAUGGCCCUUAUGGGUAGGGCUUCACACGUCAUACAAUGGUCGGGACAGAGGGUCGCCAACCCGCGAGGGGGAGCCAAUUCUAGAACUCCGAUCGUAGUCCGAUCGUAGUCUGUAACUCGACUGCGUGAAGUCGGAAUCGCUAGUAAUCAGGAUCAGCAUGUCGCGGUGAAUACGUUCCUGGUCUUGUACACACCGCCCGUCACACCAUGGGAGUGGGUUUUACCAGAAGGUAGCUAGCCUAACCGUAAGGAGGGCGAUUACCACGGUAGGAUUCAUGACUGGGGUGAAGUCGUAACAAGGCA